RNAcentral lists this ribosomal RNA (446 nucleotides) under uncultured bacterium. RNAcentral describes it as "bacterial SSU rRNA". It matches the Rfam family "Bacterial small subunit ribosomal RNA", at positions 329 to 792 of the family's 1533-position model. The record is from RNAcentral.
AGCCAGACUCCUACGGGAGGCAGCAGUGGGGAAUAUUGCACAAUGGGGGAAACCCUGAUGCAGCGACGCCGCGUGAGCGAUGAAGUAUUUCGGUAUGUAAAGCUCUAUCAGCAGGGAAGAAGAUGACGGUACCUGACUAAGAAGCCCCGGCUAACUACGUGCCAGCAGCCGCGGUAAUACGUAGGGGGCAAGCGUUAUCCGGAUUUACUGGGUGUAAAGGGAGCGUAGACGGCGAUGCAAGCCAGAUGUGAAAGCCCGGGGCUCAACCCCGGGACUGCAUUUGGAACUGUGUGGCUGGAGUGUCGGAGAGGCAGGCGGAAUUCCUAGUGUAGCGGUGAAAUGCGUAGAUAUUAGGAGGAACACCAGUGGCGAAGGCGGCCUGCUGGACGAUGACUGACGUUGAGGCUCGAAAGCGUGGGGAGCAAACAGGAUUAAAUACCCGAGUA